RNAcentral lists this ribosomal RNA (684 nucleotides) under uncultured bacterium. RNAcentral's name for it is "bacterial SSU rRNA". It matches the Rfam family "Bacterial small subunit ribosomal RNA", at positions 186 to 848 of the family's 1533-position model. The record is from RNAcentral.
GCAUGGCCCAUGGAAGAAAAGGUGGCCUCUACCUGUAAGCUAUCGCCUGAAGAGGGGUUUGCGUCUGAUUAGCUGGUUGGAGGGGUAACGGCCCACCAAGGCGACGAUCAGUAGCCGGUCUGAGAGGAUGAACGGCCACACUGGAACUGAGACACGGUCCAGACUCCUACGGGAGGCAGCAGUGGGGAAUCUUCCGCAAUGGGCGAAAGCCUGACGGAGCAACGCCGCGUGAGUGAUGACGGCCUUCGGGUUGUAAAACUCUGUGAUCCGGGACGAAAAGGCAGAGUGCGAAGAACAAACUGCAUUGACGGUACCGGAAAAGCAAGCCACGGCUAACUACGUGCCAGCAGCCGCGGUAAUACGUAGGUGGCAAGCGUUGUCCGGAAUUAUUGGGCGUAAAGCGCGCGCAGGCGGCUUCCCAAGUCCCUCUUAAAAGUGCGGGGCUUAACCCCGUGAUGGGAAGGAAACUGGGAAGCUGGAGUAUCGGAGAGGAAAGUGGAAUUCCUAGUGUAGCGGUGAAAUGCGUAGAGAUUAGGAAGAACACCGGUGGCGAAGGCGACUUUCUGGACGAAAACUGACGCUGAGGCGCGAAAGCGUGGGGAGCAAACAGGAUUAGAUACCCUGGUAGUCCACGCCGUGAACGAUGGAUACUAGGUGUAGGAGGUAUCGACCCCUCCUGUGCCG